GAUGAACGCUGGCGGCGUGCCUAAUACAUGCAAGUCGAGCGAACAGACGCGGCGCUUGCUCCUCUGACGUUAGCGGCGGACGGGUGAGUAACACGUGGAUAACCUACCUAUAAGACUGGGAUAACUUCGGGAAACCGGCGCUAAUACCGGAUAAUAUAUUGAUCCGCAUGGUUCAAUAGUGAAAGACGGUUUUGCUGUCACUUAUAGAUGGAUCCGCGCCGCUUUAGCUAGUUGGUACGGUAACGGCUUACCAAGGCUACGAUGCGUAGCCGACCUGAGAGGGUGAUCGGCCACACGGGAACGGAGACACCGUCCAGACGCCUACGGGAGGCAGCAGUAGGGAACCGUCCGCAGUGGGCGAAAGCCUGACGGAGCAACGCCGCGUGAGUGAUGAAGGUCUUCGGAUCGGAAAACUCUGUUAUUAGGGAAGAACAAAUGUGUAAGUAACCAUGCACGUCUUGACGGUACCUAAUCAGAAAGCCACGGCUAACUACGUG
Molecule: ribosomal RNA, 497 nt
Filed under: uncultured bacterium
Lineage: Bacteria
Description: partial 16S ribosomal RNA
Rfam family: Bacterial small subunit ribosomal RNA
Source: RNAcentral